UACAGAGGAUGCAAGCGUUAUCCGGAAUGAUUGGGCGUAAAGCGCCUGUAGGUGGCUUUUUAAGUCCGCCGUCAAAUCCCAGGGCUCAACUCUGGACAGGCGGUGGAAACUACCAAGCUGGAGUACGGUAGGGGCAGAGGGAAUUUCCGGUGGAGCGGUGAAAUGCGUAGAGAUCGGAAAGAACACCAACGGCGAAAGCGCUCUGCUGGGCCGACACUGGCACUGAGAGACGAAAGCUAGGGGAGCGAAUGGG
RNAcentral lists this ribosomal RNA (253 nucleotides) under uncultured bacterium. RNAcentral describes it as "partial 16S ribosomal RNA". It matches the Rfam family "Bacterial small subunit ribosomal RNA", at positions 524 to 776 of the family's 1533-position model. The record is from RNAcentral.